GAGUUUGAUUAUGGCUCAGAACGAACGCUGGCGGCGCGUCUUAAGCAUGCAAGUCGAACGGUAAGGGAGAGCUUGCUCUCCCCUAGAGUGGCGGACUGGUGAGUAACGCGUAGGUGACCUACCCUGAAGAUGGGGAUAGCUAGUAGAAAUAUUAGAUAAUACCGAAUAAGCUCAUUUGCAUAAAGGCAGAUGAGGAAAGGGGCUACGGCUCCGCUUUAGGAUGGGCCUGCGUCCCAUUAGCUAAGUUGGUGAGGUAAAGGCUUACCAAGGCAACGAUGGGUAUCCGGCCUGAGAGGGUGAACGGACACAUUGGGACUGAGAUACGGCCCAAACUCCUACGGGAGGCAGCAGCUAAGAAUCUUCCGCAAUGGACGAAAGUCUGACGGAGCGACGCCGUGUGAAUGAAGAAGGCUGAAAAGUUGUAAAAUUCUUUUGCAGAUGAAGAAUAAGGAUAGGAGGGAAUGCCUAUCUGAUGA
This 476-nucleotide ribosomal RNA is filed under the name Treponema sp. canine oral taxon 207. Its description in RNAcentral is "bacterial SSU rRNA". It matches the Rfam family "Bacterial small subunit ribosomal RNA", at positions 9 to 472 of the family's 1533-position model. The record is from RNAcentral. Lineage: Bacteria; Pseudomonadati; Spirochaetota; Spirochaetia; Treponematales; Treponemataceae.